Molecule: long non-coding RNA, 205 nt
Filed under: Mytilus galloprovincialis (Mediterranean mussel)
Lineage: Eukaryota; Metazoa; Mollusca; Bivalvia; Mytilida; Mytilidae
Source: RNAcentral
CGUCAUAGAGAGGCGAAAGGUGCCAAAGGGACAUUCUAGGUUGGUUCCCUCCGUAAAAUAUCCAGUAUGCCUUCGGAAUAUACAAAUGUUGUCAAGAAUUUCAAUGACGGCCGGGUACCUGUCUAGGGACAUUCAAACGUAAGAAAAAAAUAAACUGACAAAACCAUGGCUAAAAAGAAAAGAAAAAAAACCAGACAAACAACAG